RNAcentral lists this ribosomal RNA (497 nucleotides) under uncultured bacterium. RNAcentral describes it as "partial 16S ribosomal RNA". It matches the Rfam family "Bacterial small subunit ribosomal RNA", at positions 28 to 507 of the family's 1533-position model. The record is from RNAcentral.
GAUGAACGCUGGCGGCGUGCCUAAUACAUGCAAGUCGAGCGAACAGACGAGGAGCUUGCUCCUUUGACGAUAGCGGCGGACGGGUGAGUAACACGUGGAUAACCUACCUAUAAGACUGGGAUAACUUCGGGAAACCGGAGCUAAUACCGGAUAACAUGUUGAACCGCAUGGUUCAACAGUGAAAGACGGUCUUGCUGUCACUUAUAGAUGGAUCCGCGCCGCAUUAGCUAGUUGGUAAGGUAACGGCUUACCAAGGCAACGAUGCGUAGCCGACCUGAGAGGGUGAUCGGCCACACUGGAACUGAGACACGGUCCAGACUCCUACGGGAGGCAGCAGUAGGGAAUCUUCCGCAAUGGGCGAAAGCCUGACGGAGCAACGCCGCGUGAGUGAAGAAGGUCUUCGGAUCGUAAAACUCUGUUAUUAGGGAAGAACAAAUGUGUAAGUAACUAUGCACGUCUUGACGGUACCUAAUCAGAAAGCCACGGCUAACUACGUG